ACGGACGGUCAUAGCGGUUUGGCAAUACCCGAUCCCAUUUCGAACUCGGAAGUCAAGCAGACCUACGUUCUUAGUUGUACUGUUCUCUGAACGGGAAGCUAAGAAAGCUGUCCGUC
Molecule: non-coding RNA, 116 nt
Organism: Candidatus Woesearchaeota archaeon CG1_02_47_18
Lineage: Archaea; Nanobdellati; Candidatus Woesearchaeota
Source: Rfam